Molecule: long non-coding RNA, 1128 nt
Organism: Calypte anna (Anna's hummingbird)
Lineage: Eukaryota; Metazoa; Chordata; Aves; Apodiformes; Trochilidae
Exons: 3
Source: RefSeq, a predicted model, not a curated record
CUCAGUCAGAAGGAGAACACCUCGGUGGCCGCCGUCCCCUCCUCACACGUGCGCCGCUCCUACACCUGAGGGGACACCAGGACCUGCACCCCCAAAACGUCUCCGCAAGGUUGGGUGGCACCUGGUGUGUCCCUUAAUGUCCCCAGCCCCCCAGGGCUCUCCCCGGCAUCGCCCUCGGCCCCGAGUGCAAGAGGAAGCAGAAGGCAACGCCAAGCAAUAUGCCUUCAGUCCCCCUGAGGAUCGAGAGGAUGAUGGGGAAGGGGAAUCAGUGGAAGAAGAGCAGAGUGGAAUUCUGCAUCUGUUGUCCCAGGUUGAACAAGCAGCAUCCUGGAAGCAUUGAUCAUCCUGGGCAGCUUGGUUGGACUGAAAGGAGGAAUUUCAGAGUGGGAAAGAGAGGUGAAUCCUAUCAUUGGUUUCCUGAAGUGGAUGACUUCAACUGUCUGGUCUGGACCUCACAAUGAACAGUAGAGAACCUGAAAACUUUUCUGGGGAAGUGGCCUGCAGCUCACAAGUGAAGUGGGGAAGGUUUCUGGCAGUUGUGAAUAGGGGCUUGAUCCAAAAGGUGGGGUUUUUUGGCAACUCCUGGGACACUGGAAAAUGCCUGAUGUCAAGUUGAGCUGCCAGUGAGCAUCGUGGGCGUCCAUUUUGUCUGCAUCAGGAGCAGCAAUCGACCCUGCUCUCAGCAGUGGUCUGUGCCAGCAGAGAGCAGAGCCACAAGAAGGGCACGUGCAGCUGCUGUUGGGAAAGAAGCAGCAGGGAAGAGAUGAACCUUCCUCUGGAUGAGGAGGCCUGUGAGAGGAUGUAACUGCAUGGGGUGAGAGUGUUGUGGACUGGGGAAAAUGGAGUGUUAGUGUAGUUAAGAAGAGGUUUUGGAGAGCUCGGCGGUGUCCUUGGAUCCCUCUAAGUGGGACUGGGCUAUAGGUAAGAGAGGAGGCAGUUAACCUCAGAUCUCUGGGUUUUUAGAUGAUGUCAGCUGGCUUGCAAACGUCAGAACUCAUCCAUCAGUUUGAGAACACAGUCAGCUUAGAGACAGAGGGAGCCUUGUGUGCUUUGUCUGCAACAUUCAGUUAGUAUGCAGAGUCAUGGAAUCAUAGAAUUGGCUGGGUUGGAAGGAACCUCAGAGAUCAU